GGGCGGAGGCAGUGUCGUAGUGGUUGUGUUGGGAGAGAGAGAAGCAAAGUGUUCUUGAACCGAGAAUCGCAGAGCAGCAGGAAGAUGGACAGCCGCAGAGACGGAGAGAGAGACAAAUGGAAUUCAAUGGGAAGGGAAGCGAGGGAACAAGACAGAUCGAGGUUGUCAUCAUCAUCAUCAUCAUCAGAGUCAUCGGCUUCAGAGCCCUUCAGCGACAGUAGGGAGGAGGGCACGAAGCAUCUACCGGCCGAAGAUGUGGAGACGAAGGAGAAGAGAUGGGAGGCGGAGGAGAUGAAGAGGAGAAUGGAGGAGAUGAAGAGGAGAAUGGAGGAGAUGGAAAAAGAGAUGAGGAUGCUGAAGAAAGAGUUGAAGGAGAAGGACACUGAAAAGAUACUGCUUGAAGAUCGAAUAAGGGAGAUGGAGAGAAGUAUGAAGAGGGAGAAGGAGGCGGAGGUGGAGGAGGCGAAGAGACGGAUGGCGAAGGAGAGGAGAGAAGAGUGGAUGGCGUGGGAGGAGGAGAAAAUAAGGUUGGAGAAAGCGUGGGAGGUGGAGAGGGCAUCGCUGGAGGCGUGUGGGAAUGAGAAGACCAAGCUGGAGGAGGCGAAUGGAGCGUUGAGGCGGAGAGCAGAACACUACCAGGGAGCAUCUAUUGAGCUGCAGGAGAGGAUUGAGCAACUCGAGGGUGACCUGCGCCGGUUGGAGGGAAGGGAAGAGGCGCUUCUGGAGAACUAUAAUGAACUUGACUAUUUCAAGAAGCGCUGCGUGGCCAUCUUGAGGGGCGAGAGGGUGGACACAGGCACGGUACGAGAGUUUAUCGAAGACGCGGCGGGCAAGGACGAGCUGCAGCUUCACGUGGCUGUCUCCCUGGGCUUGGACAGACACGUGGAGGGUUUACUGCGAAGGCUCAACGGCACGGAGCGGAACGACAGGCGCUGGAGCGCCCUACAGCUGGCGGUCGCUCGCGGAGACAACAAGACCGUCAGAAAAUUGUGGGACCAGCGAUCAGCCAGGGAGGAGUGCCCGCCGCUGCUGCACUUGGCCGCCGCUAACAGGCAGAGAGACACCGCCGAGAUGCUCAAGAAGAAGAAGAUGAAGUUGGAAGCAGAGUACCAGGGCGUGACAGCGUGGGACGUGGCCCAAGCGAUGGAGCACUGGGAGAUGACGGAUAUAUUGAACAAGAGGAACGGGCUGAUGUGCUGGAAGUUCCAGGUCGCCAAGCCGGUUCACCCGCAGGUCAUCGAGGAACUGCGUCUGUUUAUGCAUCAGAACUACACUACCGGCGCGGGGUCAUCGUCGAUCAGGGCAGAAGAGGGAUUGGACCUUGAGCAGGGAAGUUUGGAAGAGGAGGAGGAAAGAGAACAAAGAGGAGGAAGAGGAGGAGGAUCGCAAAUUGCCGGAGGAGGAAGUCUGAAAUAUGAGGAAGAAAGAGGAGGAAGAGGAGGAAGAGGAGGAGGAUCGGAAAUUGCCAGAGGAGGAAGUUUGAAAUAUGAGGAAGAAAGAGGAGGAAGAGGAGGAAGAGGAAGAGGAGGAGGAUCGCAAAUUGCCGGAAGUCUGAAAUAUGAGGAAGAAAAAGGAGGAAGAGGAGGAAGAGCAAGAGGAAGUCUGAAAAAUGAGGAAGAAAGAGGAGGAAGAGGAAGAGGAGGAUCGGAAAUUGCCGAAGAAGGAAGCUUGAAAGAUGAGAAACUAAGAGGAGAAAGAGGAAGAGGAAAGAGGAUACCAGAUUAUGAGAUCACUGACGAGGGGGCCGCGACGAAGGCGAAGAGGGGAAAGCAGAUGGAAGGAGUGGAGGAGAGGUGGAAAAGUGGAGGAAAAAGACAGGAGGAGAGAGCAAAGGACUUGGGACCGUUGCCGCGGGGUCUGCCUAACUUGGGCCAGACUUGCUACAUGAACUGUGUCCUGCAAAGCUUGUACCACCUGCAGCCACUCGCCGAGGUCUUCAGAGAGCUCCAAGGGCCGAGUAACCAAGGCGAGGUGGUUCUGGCGACCAUGAACCUCUGGGCGGCUCUGCGGGAUGGAAGGGACUUAGAGGGCAGAGUUAAACAUAUGAAGGUAGGUGGUGGUGGUGGUGGUGGUGGUGGUAGUGGUGGUGGCGGUGGUUAUGGUGGUGGUGGUGGUGGUGGAGUGGUCAACAUGAACAGAUUACACUAAGCAAACUUAAACGACUCUAUCUCAGGUUAAAUCUUAUUGUUGGAUGCUGGGAAAGGUUGAAUCUUAUUGGUGGAUGCUGGGAAAGGUUGAAUCUUAUUGUUGGAUGCUGGGAAAGGUUGAAUCUUAUUGGUGGAUGCUGGGAAAGGUUGAAUCUUAUUGUUGGAUGCUGGGAAAGGUUGAAUCUUAUUGGUGGAUGCUGGGAAAGGUUGAAUCUUAUUGGUGGAUGCUGGGAAAGGUUGAAUCUUAUUGGUGGAUGCUGGGAAAGGUUGAAUCUUAUUGGUGGAUGCUGGGAAAGGUUGAAUCUUAUUGGUGGAUGCUGGGAAAGGUUGAAUCUUAUUGGUGGAUGCUGGGAAAGGUUGAAUUUUACUGAACCAGGCAAGAUGGCGCCACUAUAAACACUUGCCUGGGCCACUUACGGGAUAGGCCGACAAGAUGCCUAGCCUAGCGACGUAUAGGCCUAACGUGAAAAAAAACGAAAAUACAGUUUGAAACACUUUUUGGU
This is an RNA transcript of Eriocheir sinensis (Chinese mitten crab), 2650 nucleotides long. It is a transcript of the gene named trichohyalin-like, with no coding region annotated. The transcript has 16 exons. The record is from RefSeq and is a predicted model, not a curated record. Lineage: Eukaryota; Metazoa; Arthropoda; Malacostraca; Decapoda; Varunidae.